ACGUAGGGUCCAAGUGUUAAUCGGAAUUACUGGGCGUAAAGCGUGCGCAGGCGGUUGUGCAAGACCGAUGUGUAAUCCCCGGGCUUAACCUGGGAAUUGCAAUGGUGACUGCACGGCUAGAGUGUGUCAGAGGGGGAUAGAAUUCCCCGUGGAGCAGUGGAAUGCUUAGAGAUGUGGAGGAAUACCGAUGGCGAAUGCAGCACCCUGGGAUAACUCUGCCGCUCAUUCACGAAAGCGUGUGGAGCAAACAG
RNAcentral lists this ribosomal RNA (251 nucleotides) under uncultured prokaryote. RNAcentral's name for it is "partial 16S rRNA". It matches the Rfam family "Bacterial small subunit ribosomal RNA", at positions 525 to 775 of the family's 1533-position model. The record is from RNAcentral.